This 253-nucleotide ribosomal RNA is filed under the name uncultured bacterium. Its description in RNAcentral is "partial 16S ribosomal RNA". It matches the Rfam family "Bacterial small subunit ribosomal RNA", at positions 524 to 776 of the family's 1533-position model. The record is from RNAcentral.
UACGAAGGGGGCUAGCGUUGCUCGGAAUCACUGGGCGUAAAGGGUGCGUAGGCGGGUUCUUAAGUCAGAGGUGAAAUCCUGGAGCUCAACUCCAGAACUGCCUUUGAUACUGAGAGUCUUGAGUUCGGGAGAGGUGAGUGGAGCUGCGAGUGUAGAGGUGAAAUUCGUAGAUAUUCGCAAGAACACCAGUGGCGAAGGCGGCUCACUGGCCCGAUACUGACGCUGAAGCACGAAAGCGUGGGGAGCAAACAGG